RNAcentral lists this ribosomal RNA (611 nucleotides) under uncultured bacterium. Its description in RNAcentral is "bacterial SSU rRNA". It matches the Rfam family "Bacterial small subunit ribosomal RNA", at positions 8 to 604 of the family's 1533-position model. The record is from RNAcentral.
AGAGUUGAUCCUGGCUCAGGACGAACGCUGGCGGCAUGCCUAAUACAUGCAAGUCGAGCGGAACGUUGGGAGCUUGCUUCCAAUGUUUAGCGGCGGACGGGUGAGUAACACGUGGGCAACCUGCCCUGCAGAUCGGGAUAACUCCGGGAAACCGGUGCUAAUACCGAAUAGUUUUUUGCCCCUCCUGGGGCAGAACGGAAAGACGGUUUCGGCUGUCACUGCAGGAUGGGCCCGCGGCGCAUUAGCUAGUUGGUGGGGUAAUGGCCCACCAAGGCGACGAUGCGUAGCCGACCUGAGAGGGUGAUCGGCCACACUGGGACUGAGACACGGCCCAGACUCCUACGGGAGGCAGCAGUAGGGAAUCUUCCGCAAUGGACGAAAGUCUGACGGAGCAAUGCCGCGUGAGUGACGAAGGUUUUCGGAUCGUAAAACUCUGUUGUAGGGAAAGAACAAGUACCAAGUAACUACUGGUACCUUGACGGUACCUUACCAGAAAGCCACGGCUAACUACGUGCCAGCAGCCGCGGUAAUACGUAGGUGGCAAGCGUUGUCCGGAAUUAUUGGGCGUAAAGCGCGCGCAGGCGGUCCCUUAAGUCUGAUGUGAAAGCCCA